This 232-nucleotide ribosomal RNA is filed under the name Staphylococcus hyicus. RNAcentral's name for it is "partial 16S ribosomal RNA". It matches the Rfam family "Bacterial small subunit ribosomal RNA", at positions 1310 to 1533 of the family's 1533-position model. The record is from RNAcentral. Lineage: Bacteria; Bacillati; Bacillota; Bacilli; Caryophanales; Staphylococcaceae.
ACUCGACUACAUGAAGCUGGAAUCGCUAGUAAUCGUAGAUCAGCAUGCUACGGUGAAUACGUUCCCGGGUCUUGUACACACCGCCCGUCACACCACGAGAGUUUGUAACACCCGAAGCCGGUGGAGUAACCAUUUUGGAGCUAGCCGUCGAAGGUGGGACAAAUGAUUGGGGUGAAGUCGUAACAAGGUAGCCGUAUCGGAAGGUGCGGCUGGAUCACCUCCUUUCUAAGGA